This 501-nucleotide ribosomal RNA is filed under the name uncultured bacterium. Its description in RNAcentral is "partial 16S ribosomal RNA". It matches the Rfam family "Bacterial small subunit ribosomal RNA", at positions 899 to 1397 of the family's 1533-position model. The record is from RNAcentral.
ACUCAAAUGAAUAGACGGGGGCCCGCACAAGCGGUGGAGCAUGUGGUUCAAUUCGACGCAACGCGAAGAACCUUACCUGGGCUCGAACGGCCGGUCAACGGCGGUGGAAACAUCGUUAUCCCGCAAGGGAGUCCGGUCGAGGUGCUGCAUGGCUGUCGUCAGCUCGUGUCGUGAGAUGUUGGGUUAAGUCCCGCAACGAGCGCAACCCUCGUCCUGUGUUGCCAGGGGAGCAAUCCCGGAACUCGCAGGAGACCGCCAGCGAUAAGUUGGAGGAAGGUGGGGAUGACGUCAAGUCCUCAUGGCCUUUAUGUCCAGGGCUACACACGUGCUACAAUGGCCGGUACAAAGCGCUGCAAACCCGCGAGGGGGAGCCAAUCGCAAAAAACCGGUCUCAGUUCGGAUUGCAGGCUGCAACUCGCCUGCAUGAAGCUGGAAUCGCUAGUAAUGGCAGAUCAGCACGCUGCCGUGAAUACGUUCCCGGGCCUUGUACACACCGCCCGU